CGCUAGCGGGAUGCUUUACACAUGCAAGUCGAACGGCAGCAUGAGAGAGCUUGCUCUCUUGAUGGCGAGUGGCGGACGGGUGAGUAAUGUAUCGGAACGUGCCCGGUAGUGGGGGAUAACUACGCGAAAGCGUAGCUAAUACCGCAUAUWCUCUACGGAGGAAAGAGGGGGAUCGUAAGACCUCUUGCUACCGGAGCGGCCGAUAUCAGAUUAGCUGGUUGGUGGGGUAACGGCCUACCAAGGCGGUGAUCUGUAGCUGGUUUGAGAGGACGACCAGCCACACUGGGACUGAGACACGGCCCAGACUCCUACGGGAGGCAGCAGUGGGGAAUUUUCGACAAUGGGGGGAACCCUGAUCGAGCCAUCUCGCGUGUGGGACGAAGGCCUUCGGGUUGUAAACCACUUUUCUCAACGAAGAAAAGUCUUAGGCUAAUACCUUAAGAUGCUGACGGUAGUUGAGGAAUAAGCACCGGCUAACUACGUGCCAGCAGCCGCGGUAAUAC
This 503-nucleotide ribosomal RNA is filed under the name Oligella urethralis. RNAcentral's name for it is "bacterial SSU rRNA". It matches the Rfam family "Bacterial small subunit ribosomal RNA", at positions 34 to 526 of the family's 1533-position model. Lineage: Bacteria; Pseudomonadati; Pseudomonadota; Betaproteobacteria; Burkholderiales; Alcaligenaceae. The record is from RNAcentral.